UUAAGUUCAGCGGGUAUUCCUACCUGAUCCGAGGUCAACCAUUAAAAAAUGUAAAGGUUAUGGCUACAGCUAAGGCAACUAAAAAGCGAGAAUAAAUUACUACGCUUAGAGUAUACCGAAACUCCGCCACUGGUUUUGAGGAACUACCGGUUAGGUAGACUCCCAAUACUAAGCUGAGCUUAAAGGUUGUAAUGACGCUC
This 200-nucleotide unclassified non-coding RNA is filed under the name Ascomycota sp. RNAcentral describes it as "partial internal transcribed spacer 2". The record is from RNAcentral. Lineage: Eukaryota; Fungi; Ascomycota.